Molecule: ribosomal RNA, 822 nt
Filed under: Dichotomius semisquamosus
Lineage: Eukaryota; Metazoa; Arthropoda; Insecta; Coleoptera; Scarabaeidae
Description: bacterial SSU rRNA
Rfam family: Eukaryotic small subunit ribosomal RNA
Source: RNAcentral
GUCGCAUGCUUUUUGGCCGCCAUGGAANGCCGCGGGAAUUCGAUUCCCCGUAAUCGGAAUGAGUACACUCUAUUUCCCUUUAACGAGGAUCAAUUGGAGGGCAAGUCUGGUACCAGCAGCCGCGGUAAUUCCAGCUCCAAUAGCGUAUAUUAAAGUUGUUGCGGUUAAAAAGCUCGUAGUCGAAUUUGUGUCCCACGCCGCCGGUUCAUCGCUCGCGGUGUCAACUUGGCGUGUUCGCGGGGACGUCCUGCCCGGUGGGGCUUAGCCCCAAUCCGGGGGGCCCAAUUCUCAAUCCCACCGGGGGGGGCUUUUCUCAAAAAUGUCGAGGUGGGGCCCGCCCCGUUUUAUUUUGAAACAAAUUUAAAGGGGUUAAAGGCAGGCUUAAAACAUCCCCGGAAAACUGGGGGCAUGGAAAAAUGGAAAUAGGACCCUCGAUUCUAUUUUGGUGGUUUUCGGAACCCCGAGGUUAUGAUUAAUAGAGAACGGAUGGGGGCAUUCGUAUUGCGACGUUAGAUGUGAAAUUCUUGGAUCGUCGCAAGACGGACAGAAGCGAAAGCAUUUGCCAAAAACGCUUUCAUUGAUCAAGAACGAAAGUUAGAGGUUCGAAGGCGAUCAGAUACCGCCCUAGUUCUAACCAUAAACGAUGCCAGCUAGCGAUCCGCCGACGUUCCUCCGAUGACUCGGCGGGCAGCUUCCGGGAAACCAAAGCUUUUGUGUUCCGGGGGAAGUAUGGUUGCAAAGCUGAAACUUAAAGGAAUUGACGGAAGGGCACCACCAGGAGUGGAGCCUGCGGCUUAAUUUGACUCAACACGGGAAACCUCA